CCCUCAGGGUGGGUAUUGGUUGGAUUGUUUGGUCGCUAACGCACAAUGAUGAGGCCCGGGGGUCGCAGCCCCCAGAUUGUGAUGUCUCAGAGUGCGUGGGCCUGAUGACGCAAGCCAGGGUGCUUGCUCCAGGAGCUGGUCCAGGAUGUCUGCCCCUUCUCCAUCCUGACCCUCUGAGACCCUUCCAGUCGCAGUAGGAACCCAUCCUAUGCCUGGAUCACCUCUCUGCUACAGGUCAGCAGUGACGAAGGACAUAAUGGUACCGGUGCUUGGUGGAACAGACUGCUCACUUCAUGGCAGCCAGCAGGAGAGGACGGGAGGAAGAAGAGGAACUGGGGACAAGCUAUACCCUUCAAAAGCAUGACCCCCACCCCCAUAGUGGCCUAUUUUCUUUAAAGUCACCCUCUAGCGUCCAUUGCCUCCCAACAACAUUGUUUAUGACUCUAUCAAUGGGUCUUUCCAUUGAUAAAGACAAAGCCUUCUCA
Long non-coding RNA from Mesocricetus auratus (golden hamster), 485 nucleotides. RefSeq lists it as uncharacterized. The transcript is spliced from 2 exons. The record is from RefSeq and is a predicted model, not a curated record. Lineage: Eukaryota; Metazoa; Chordata; Mammalia; Rodentia; Cricetidae.